RNAcentral lists this ribosomal RNA (263 nucleotides) under Sphingomonas aquatilis. RNAcentral describes it as "partial 16S ribosomal RNA". It matches the Rfam family "Bacterial small subunit ribosomal RNA", at positions 517 to 779 of the family's 1533-position model. The record is from RNAcentral. Lineage: Bacteria; Pseudomonadati; Pseudomonadota; Alphaproteobacteria; Sphingomonadales; Sphingomonadaceae.
GCGGUAAUACGGAGGGAGCUAGCGUUGUUCGGAAUUACUGGGCGUAAAGCGCACGUAGGCGGCUUUGUAAGUUAGAGGUGAAAGCCUGGAGCUCAACUCCAGAACUGCCUUUAAGACUGCAUCGCUUGAAUCCAGGAGAGGUGAGUGGAAUUCCGAGUGUAGAGGUGAAAUUCGUAGAUAUUCGGAAGAACACCAGUGGCGAAGGCGGCUCACUGGACUGGUAUUGACGCUGAGGUGCGAAAGCGUGGGGAGCAAACAGGAUU